RNAcentral lists this long non-coding RNA (620 nucleotides) under Homo sapiens (human). RNAcentral's name for it is "HSALNT0261425". The record is from RNAcentral. Lineage: Eukaryota; Metazoa; Chordata; Mammalia; Primates; Hominidae.
GCAAAGAGGACCACAUCCCCUCACCCCCCUGAAGCCUUUUCAUCCCUAAAGAGGACUGGCCCAGCCCCAGCCCGAAGGCCCUCAGUACCUGACGUGUUGUCAUGUGAAAUGCUGAUAAUAAGGUCUUUGGGGGCAUCUGCAACAAGAUUGUGAGCUGGCUUCAGGGAGGGACAAUUUGUUCCUCACACCUGGAAAAAACUCCCUCAGGGAAAAGAAAGUGGGAACAUCCCAGGAUGGACAAGUGACAACCAGCUCCAGGGCUCACACAUGUGGACAGAGGAUCAGACGCCAUUCCCAUCCCCCUCCCAGGGCUGAGCCGGCAUCCUGGGACCCCACAGCUUCCUCUCCCUGGAUGCUCCUGAGCUGGGAGCCACUCACUGUCCCGCUGGGCUCCUCCACCUCCCCACCCACCGGGGCUGUCUGCACGCCCCACCCUCCCAGGCCACACUCACAGGCCACACGGAGUCGGACGGUCCUCUGUGCGCUCACACCCUUUCUGGAGAAGUCCACAUGGCAGGGGAAGCAGCAGGGCAGAGGGCAUGAGGACCAGCCCCAAACCAGGAAGGAGCCACCCUGGCCAGCCUCGGAGGUGGGCAGUGCUAGGAGGGGACUGUCAGGGG